UACGUAGGGUGCAAGCGUUGUCCGGAAUUAUUGGGCGUAAAGGGCGCGUAGGCGGCAAUUCAAGUCAUCUGUGAAAUCUCCGGGCUUAACUCGGAACGGUCAGAUGAUACUGCUUUGCUAGAGUGCGGAAGGGGCAAUCGGAAUUCUCGGUGUAGCGGUGAAAUGCGUAGAUAUCGAGAGGAACACCUGAGGUGAAGACGGGUUGCUGGGCCGACACUGACGCUGACAGCGCGAAAGCCAGGGGAGCAAACGGG
Molecule: ribosomal RNA, 254 nt
Filed under: uncultured bacterium
Lineage: Bacteria
Description: partial 16S ribosomal RNA
Rfam family: Bacterial small subunit ribosomal RNA
Source: RNAcentral